AGAGUUUGAUCCUGGCUCAGGAUGAACGCUAGCGGCAGGCCUAAUACAUGCAAGUCGAGGGGCAGCAUAGUAGCAAUACUGAUGGCGACCGGCGCACGGGUGCGUAACGCGUAUGCAACCUACCUUUUACUGGGGGAUAGCCCGGAGAAAUUCGGAUUAACACCGCGUAAUAAGUUUGAGUGGCAUCACUUGGAUUUUAAAUAUUUAUAGGUAAGAGAUGGGCAUGCGUCCAGUUAGCUAGUUGGUGAGGUAAUGGCUCACCAAGGCGAUGAUUGGUAGGGGUUCUGAGAGGAAGGUCCCCCACACUGGUACUGAGAUGCGGACCAGACUCCUACGGGAGGCAGCAGUAGGGAAUAUUGGGCAAUGGGCGAGAGCCUGACCCAGCCAUGCCGCGUGCAGGAAGAAGGCCUUCUGGGUUGUAAACUGCUUUUGAUCGGGAACAAAUAGUCCAUGCGUGGAAAGUUGAGUGUACCGAUAGAAUAAGCACCGGCUAACUCCGUGCCAGCAGCCGCGGUAAUACGGAGGGUGCAAGCGUUGUCCGGAUUUAUUGGGUUUAAAGGGUGCGUAGGCGGCCCUGUAAGUCAGUGGUGAAAUACUGCAGCUUAACUGUAGCAUUGCCAUUGAUACUGUAGGGCUUGAGUACAGAUGAGGUAGGCGGAAUUGAUGGUGUAGCGGUGAAAUGCAUAGAUACCAUCAAGAACACCGAUUGCGAAGGCAGCUUACUAAGCUGUAACUGACGCUGAGGCACGAAAGCGUGGGGAUCGAACAGGAUUAGAUACCCUAGUAGUCC
RNAcentral lists this ribosomal RNA (790 nucleotides) under uncultured bacterium. Its description in RNAcentral is "bacterial SSU rRNA". It matches the Rfam family "Bacterial small subunit ribosomal RNA", at positions 8 to 796 of the family's 1533-position model. The record is from RNAcentral.